Molecule: long non-coding RNA, 210 nt
Organism: Oncorhynchus keta (chum salmon)
Lineage: Eukaryota; Metazoa; Chordata; Actinopteri; Salmoniformes; Salmonidae
Exons: 3
Source: RefSeq, a predicted model, not a curated record
GGUCCCCCCUCGGCCUCUUAGCAGGGCGUCGUAGGUCCCCCCUCGGCCUCUUAGCAGGGCGUCGUAGGUUCCCCCUCGGCCUCUUCGCAGGGCGUCGUAGGUCCCCCCUCGGCCUCUUCGCAGGGCGUCGUAGGUCCCCCCUCGGCCUCUUCGCAGGGCGUCGUAGGUCCCCCCUCGGCCUCUUCGCAGGGCGUCGUAGGUCCCCCCUCG